AAUCAACGCUGGCGGCGUGCCUCAGACAUGCAAGUCGAACGCGAAAGCCCCCUUCGGGGGCGAAGUAGAGUGGCGCACGGGUGAGUAACACGUAGGUAAUCUACCUUUGGAUGGGGAAUAACAACCGGAAACGGUUGCUAAUACCGCAUAAUGCAGCGGCACCUAAUGGUGACAGUUGUUAAAGCGGGGGAUCGAAAGACCUCGCGUCUGAAGAGGAGCCUGCGGCGGAUUAGCAGUUGGUAAGGUAACGGCUUACCAAGGCGACGAUCCGUAGUCGGCCUGAGAGGGCGGUCGGCCACACUGACACUGACACACGGGUCAGACUCCUACGGGAGGCAGCAGUCGGGAAUUUUGGGCAAUGGGCGAAAGCCUGACCCAGCAACGCCGCGUGAAGGAUGAAAUCCCUCGGGAUAGU
RNAcentral lists this ribosomal RNA (415 nucleotides) under uncultured bacterium. RNAcentral describes it as "bacterial SSU rRNA". It matches the Rfam family "Bacterial small subunit ribosomal RNA", at positions 32 to 427 of the family's 1533-position model. The record is from RNAcentral.